GAAUACAAUACAACAAAAAAGCUUAUUUUCUCAAUUUCAGAAGGACUGCUUGAUGUGAAGCAUCAGCAUCACAACACAACCACUAAGCCAUGGGACCCAGGCCGUCCAAACCUCAACCCUGCCCACCUUCUCCUUCUUUUCCUGAGGAAUGGAGGAA
Non-coding RNA from Plectropomus leopardus (leopard coralgrouper), 157 nucleotides. Lineage: Eukaryota; Metazoa; Chordata; Actinopteri; Perciformes; Serranidae. The record is from RefSeq and is a predicted model, not a curated record.